UAAGCAGGCUGCAAUUACAGUGCUUCAUUUUGUGGAAGGACUGCCAUUAACCUGCUGAGAAAAAACAUCCUGCUUCAGAGUCUCAUCUUACCACCGGGUGUGAUAAGAACUCUCUGUUGUGGGGACAACU
This is a small nucleolar RNA of Trichomycterus rosablanca, 130 nucleotides long. RefSeq annotates it as small nucleolar RNA SNORA69. The record is from RefSeq and is a predicted model, not a curated record. Lineage: Eukaryota; Metazoa; Chordata; Actinopteri; Siluriformes; Trichomycteridae. The transcript has a single exon.